Molecule: long non-coding RNA, 1979 nt
Organism: Zea mays
Lineage: Eukaryota; Viridiplantae; Streptophyta; Magnoliopsida; Poales; Poaceae
Exons: 2
Source: RefSeq, a predicted model, not a curated record
UGUUUAGUCCCUGCUCCUUUCAUUGGAUCAAGUUCAAUGUACUGCUGAAUUCUAUUGUGUAGUAUGCAGAUAGGGAUGAGGUGCAUAACUUGAGUGCUAGAGGCUUCUCCCCACUGAAUUAUCCAGUCUUGGCUGUUUUGGGAGCGGUGCGUAUGGAGUACCUGUUUAUUUUGUUUAUUAAUUGCAGCAAGGGACAAGAUGAUAUUUGUGUGCUGUGUGCUGAGCCAGCAGGGUGCUUGUGACAACAAGCCACUUACAUGAGCCUAAGUUGUGCUGGCGCCCUGAGAAUCCUUAAUCUCCAAGUCUUGGCUAAGCUCCAAGAUCCCUGCCCCCUGCCCUUUUAUCUGCCUGCUUGAAAGAAAGGCUGCAGUGAAGUUCUUCUCCCUGUCUGUGUGUUUUAGCUGGUUGCUCUAGUAUCUCUGCAGUUUGUGUUGCAAGUCUGAGUUCCCUCCCCAGCCACCUAGUUGAUCGGCUCCAGUGCCCUAUGGUGCUCUCCCUUGUUUGGUGACCACGUCCACCAAAACCCCACCUCACUAUGACUAGGAUUCCUCGAUGGAUUUCUUCCGUGUGGUAUUUGUUCCAUGCUCAAAUAAGAACACCUAAAAGAAGUGGUGUUUGAAGGAGUCUACUUCAGUGCCUGCUCAUCAAGUGGAUGGAGCUAUCUAACUAAAGGUUGGGUAGAAGGAUCUAGAACCUCCUCUCUGCAACAAAGGCAAGCCCCGGUGCAUGCAACCCCUUCCUUGUGUUUUUAAAUUAUUUUUACACACUUUAAGUCUAGUGAAUGUGCAUUAGGUUUAUAGGAGUUGCUUGGAAACCCUUUGAUGCAUUGGCUACCUUGAAAUCCAUUCCUUUUAUAGAUACUUCUGGCGAAGUAUCAAAAUAUAAUUUACAAAAAAUGCUUAGCCCUGCUUAUAAGCAGAUAGAGUUUGUCCUUUGCACUUAUGCCUAGCUCAGGUUUAUCCUGAGGAAGGAUGACUUCUACCUGCAAGAAUAUUUUCAUUGGGAGCAUGGUGGGAUCUUACUGCAAAGUUCCCUAUAAUGCUCUUUUCCUAAGGAUGGAAGUACUUAAAUCGGGACUUGGGCUAGGAACAGGUGAUGUUCUACCCAGGUUAGUUAAGGAUUGGAUGCGUAUGUAGGCCUGUUGAUCAAGGACUAUCUUAACUAGCCACAUGCCCUGGAAAUGGGACAGGGUAAGCUUGAACCCGGCUAUUCCAUACAUGAAAAGACAAUCGCGCACUGGGAGUGGAGAGAUGGCGCGAGUGGCACGUACCCUCCUGGCAAAGGAUCGCCUAAAAGGGGUGGUGUGCUCUCGGGUGGCGCGGACCUGUUCAUGCAGUGGAGGAUCCGUGGGAAUGGUAGACAUAUGCAAGAGUUACGAGAAACAUAUGUCGUGUGGUUAGAGAUCCUCAGCUAAGUAAAUCGAUUCGGAUCGCCGUUAUAUCCCCGGAGAGUGGAGACUUGAUCGCUGCCCUGCAACCUAAGUCAGGAUAUAAACAUUAUGAGUAAAAAAUGAUGUUGUAUUGAUGAGAUGGUGAAAUUAGACUAGGUGCAAACAGAGUCUAUUAAUAUUUAAUCUGGCAUUAAAAUAUUGAAAGUAAGGACUCACUUUAGUAAGCUUUUUCUGCAAAAGUAUCUAAGUUGAUUCUUGCUAAAAGCCUCUCCUUGAUUUCUAAAUCCAUCAUAUCCUUGAGAGUCUUUUUCCUUAGUCGGGUAAGACUUGCGAAAGUACACUCCGUACUCAGGGUUUUCGAACCCAUGUUGUUGUAGGUGAUGAGGAGUACUCUAGGUGUUCCUGUGGCUGGAGGGUGUUUCCUGUUCUGAAGGAGGAUUAGUUAGGCUUGUGUAUAAGCUUUGGAGGGUUCCUACCUUCCUGCUAUUGUAAUAGGUUAUGCACUUUGAGUAUAUCAGGACUUAUAAUAAAUGUAACUCUUCCUAUGUAAUAACCUUCAGUUUUAGAAAUGAAAAGAAUGUUUUGUAAA